This is a long non-coding RNA of Trifolium pratense (red clover), 5849 nucleotides long. RefSeq lists it as uncharacterized. The transcript has 11 exons. Lineage: Eukaryota; Viridiplantae; Streptophyta; Magnoliopsida; Fabales; Fabaceae. The record is from RefSeq and is a predicted model, not a curated record.
UAAAAACUCAUUCUUUCUUUCUUCUUCAAGAAAUGAAUGAAACGCACAGCACACAAUGGAAUUUAUGGCGAUGGGUCGGUCGCUCAAGAAUCAAGAAACUGGUAUGCUCGAUCUGUGCCGAUAAUCACUACGGCUUUUUUCUUUCCUUUGAAUUCUACAGCUCUGAGGAAAGAUCAUCAGGCUGUAGAGGAGAGUGGCAGAAACUAUGGGGUCCAGUCACUUCCACCAAAGAGUGUUGUGAAGAAAAUUAUGUACAUUCGACAUACAUUGCAGAACUUUAUAACACUAUAUCCAACAUUCCCACAAUUAUUUUGGCUUUGAUUGGUCUUAUAAAUGCUUUAUGACUGCGAUUUGAGAAAAUGUUCCUUCACCUAUCAAACAUGACACUUGCCAUUGGAAGCAUGUUGUACCACGCCACACUGCAAUGAGGUAAGUAUUGAUCUCCAUUUUUGUGUUGAAAUAUUUCAUUUCCAGAUAGUUUGUAUGAUACAAAAUGAGGUUGCCAUUUUAUAAAUUGUUUGUUACAAAACUAAAAAAUUCAGAAUUUAGGGAUAUAUCACUGUACUGUCCAUGGGGAAAUGUUGGUUUAUAACUCAGAUUUGUAAGGGAUGGAUGCUUCAAUGACCUUUGAGGAAAAUGCAUUAUGAAUUCAUUAUUCAUAAUGGAAAAGUUGGAUGGUGGUUUUCAAAGCAAAGCAAAGUAGUUUUAUUCAAAAUGUGAAUGGAUAGACUUUGUUCCAUGAUUUUUUUAACUGUGGCCCAAAAAUGUUGGAUGAUGCCUUAAUGUGAAAGCUAGUUGUUGACCCUAGUCCCUAAAUGCUAUUAUCUAUUGUGCUUUGAGGUUAUAAACCGUGAAUCAAGAACAUUCAAUCUUCUGCUUAAUAAAAGGUAUAACUUUACCCUUUUUCUCAUUCUUGAUCAUUCAAGAACAUUCAAUCUUCUGCUUGAGAAAAACAAAAAAAAAACCUUAAUCGUGCAAAAAUACGUUUUUGUGCCAAGAUAUCAUGUUUACGAUUGAUACUUGUUGUGAUCCCAAUUUUUUAAUUCUUGAUAUUUCAUUUCAAGAACAUUCAAUUUCUGCUUGAUUUAAACACAAAACUUUAAUUGAGGAAACAUGUUUUUUCCCAAUAACUUUCAAUCUUUUGCUUAUUGGAAACUUCAUUCCAACAUAUUUGCCCCGUUUGGUUUAUAAUUAAUACCAUUGGUAACGAUGAUGGGUUUUCGAUUUUUUCAUUUUGAGUAUUCAAGAACUUUCAAUCUUCUUCUUUGAAAAAAAAAUGAACUUUCUAUUUUUGGAAGAGAUUAAAUGUCACUGAAUGUGAAAACUAGUUUUUGCCGUAAUUGCUUGUCUCUAUCAGUAAAAAUUAUGAAUUUUUAUUCAUAAUAAUGCAUGAAUGAAUAUAUAUUCUGCUUCGAUGACCCUUAGUCCCUAAAUUCAAUUUUGCAAUUGCAAUUAGAAGUGAUUUUGCAUUAUGAACUUAAUGACCCUUGUAAGGGAUGGUUGCCUCAAUGACCUUUGAGGAACAUGCAUUAUGAAUUCAUUAUAAAUAAUGGAAAAGUUGGAUGGUGGCUUUCAAAGCAAAGUAAUUUUAAUAUGAAAUUUAUUCAACAUGUGGAUGGAUAGACUUUGUUCCAUGAUUUUUGUAAGGGUGGCCCAAAAAUGUUGGAUGAUGCCUUAAUGUGAAAGCUAGUUGUUGACCGUAGUCUCUAAAUGCUAUUAUCUAUUGUGCUUUGAGGGUAUAAACCCUAAAUCAAGAACAUUCAAUCUUCUGCUUAAUAAAAGGUAUAACUGUACCCAUUUUUCUCAUUCUUGAUCAUUCAAGAACAUUCAAGAAAAUUAUGUACAUUCGACAUACAUUGCAGAACUUUAUAACACUAUGGGUGUGUUUGAUUUGUUAAAGUGUAAGUACUGGACAGAACAGUACAAGACAGAACAGCACAACACAUGACAGAACAACACAUAACAAACUUUUGGGACAUUGAACAUUUUUUUGUCUUAUACGAUAUUUUGUUAAUAAAAUGGUAUUUUGGCAUUUUAGACAACUUGUACUGCGGACAAAAAGUUGUGCUGUGGUUUAGUGAGGGACAAAAAAUUCUGUUUUUGUCCUGUCCAUUGCCUCCCAGCUUGUCCAGUUCCUGAAACAGUUUUACAAUCAAACACAGUACAACUACAGUUGUCCUGUCCAGUCCCUUAUUUUUUAGCAGAUCAAACGGACCCUAUAUCCAACAUUCCCACAAUUAUUUUGGCGCUGAUUGGUCUUAUCAAUGCUUUAAGACAGCAAUUCGAGAAAAGGUUUAGUAUCCUUCAUCUGUCAAACAUGACACUUGCCAUUGGGAGCAUGUUGUACCACGCCACAUUGCAACAAGUCUCGGAGGAAAAUGAAAGUUCUCUCGUUGGACACCUUGUUCGUGGACUUGAGUUUAAUACAAUUGCACCCAAUCUUCUUGCAUUGGGGGCUGAGGAUGGUGAAAUUUGCAUAUGGGAUUUGGCCAAUUCUUCAUAGCCUACACAUUUUCCACCAUUAAAGGUUAGUGGCUCUGCUUCCUAGGGGGAAGUUUCAUUCUUAUCUUGGAAUAGUAAUGUGCAACACAUAUUAGCAUCCACUACAUAUAAUGGGACUACUAUGGUUUGGGACCUAAAGAAGCAAAAACCAGUGAUAAGCUUUGCAGACUCAGUUAGACGGCAGUGCUCAGCUUUGCAGAGGAAUCCUGAUGUUGCUACACAACUUUUUGUUACAUCAGAUGAAGAUGGAUCUGCUUCUAUAAGGGAAUAGUCUCUGCGGAUUGUCUGUUUAUUUUGAAGGUAAUUUGUCUGUGUAUUGACUUUAUAUGAGCAUGUUGGCGCAGCUUUGGGAUAUGAUAUGAGGAAUAUAAUGACACUGAUAAAGGAGUUUGUGGGGCACACUAGAGGUAAGACGUAAUUUCAAUGUCUUGGUGUCCCAAUGAUAGCUCUUAUUUGCUUACUUGUGGCAAAGAUAGCCGAACCAUAUGCUGGGACACUAUUUCUGGAGAGAUUGCCUAUGAAUUGCCAGCCGGAACUAACUGGAACUUUGAUGUGCAUUGGUAUUCUAAGAUACCUGGAGUAAUAGCAUCUUCCUUUGAUGGAAAAAUAGGCAUAUACAAUAUUAAGGUACAUAAAUAUAAUGUUUCCAUUAAAGCAUCUGUAUUUGGAACUCUGGAUUCUGGAAGUGAGAUUGAAACACUAGAACACAGUUAUAUCUUACUCAUGUGGGUCUGGGUCUGUUGACAUGCCUUUGUAAUACAAAACAAGCAGAUCUGAAGUUGAUUUAACAGAGUCUACUUUUUUUGUUUAGAAAUAUUGAGAACGAUAUUUAAAACCACAUGAUUCUUGCCGAAAAUUGUUUCUAAUUGUAUCUAUGUGCUAGUUGAGCUGAGACAGGAGUGGCUCAAAUGUAAGGAUGGUUGCGUGUUUUUUGCUACCAAUCAAGUGCAUUAAAAUAACAAGGCUAAUGAAUAGUCAUACUAUAUAAUAAUAUUGUAAAAUUCUUUAUGCACUUCAAUGUGCACCGGUAUUAAGCUAGCUUUCAAACAAGUUGUUUAUAAGGGCGUGCCUGACUAUUUGUUUAUGUCGACCAUCUUAUUGUUUCUUGUACAUUGUUUAUUAUAAUAUGAUGUAGGGAUUGUGUGAGCCAAUAUAUUUCUUAGCACCACACUGCGAUACCUGCUAAAAUUAAUUCAUCUUUACGCAUUUGCAGAAGACUUUGGUUAGGGAAGAAACCCGUUUCCGACCAUCCUGCUGCUUUAAUUUGUAUCUUAUGAUUAGUAGACGCAUGUUAAAUACUUUCUUUCUAAAGAUGAAUUAUAAAACUGCUAGUUGUCAGAAUUAUCAAUGAGAGAAGGUUUAUAAAGAUAACUAAGCUUUCUUGAACAUAAGCAUGCUGUUGGAGAGCAUAAUUCUAGGACUUGGAGGCUGUAUUUUGAACUUCCGUGAUUCCUGUUGUCGCUCAUUUAUUUGUCCGUGCUUAUUCUGAAUAUUGACUUACAGUUAAAGAGGCUGCUGAUCAGGUUCAACAACCAUAUGCAAUGUUUCCUUUGCCAUGUUCCUCAUCUCAAGAACAAUACGAUGCGCAACCAUCAAUGCAUGCACCAUCCUUUGCAUCUCACAGCCAUUCUGACUCAUCUAUCAAUGUUGCUGAUUAACCUUUAGAUUUUGCACCUAGGUUUGUCGUGAUGGUGACCUGCAUAUGCAAUCAACUUAUAAUCAUCAUGAUUCUGGUUCUUCAAUGAAUAACUGGGGUGCUCCAGUGGCACCUGGUGUUGGUGGUUAUGGACCAAUACCUCCAAGUCAUCCCUCAGGGCCAGAGGUUAUAAAUUUUAGCACACUGUUUUUUCUAGUCAACUAAUAUGUUUCUUUUAACACACCUGACACUUGGUUAAUUUAACCGCACAAUCCUUCUAUUACCACUCCUGAUCAUGUAGCAGCACCACACGGAAGGUUUCCUGGACCUGGUCACUCUCCAACAGUUUCACCAAAUGAUGCACCCUAUUCCCUUAGUACAAUAGCUACGAUUCAUCCUACUGCAGCUUUUGCUGCUGAUGCAUAUUGCGUAUCUGGUCUUCCUGAACGUUCUAAGAAGGUAAUUACCUUCUGAAGGUUAGUGCUUUGAUAGAUAUGAUUCAUCCAACCUCAUUUUGAAAACUGGCUUAGAGAGGAAAUAAAGAAAACAGUCAUUGCCGCUCCUUCAGCAGAUCAUCCAAAAGUUGAACAAACACUUGUGCGUGAUGGCAUUGAUAAAUCAUAUGUGAAGGCUGAUGAUGAGACAAAUAGUAGAAGUAUUGAUUCGUCUAGAUCAGCUGAGGAUGAAGAGGACUAAGAGGUCGAAGUUGAUAGAACUGCAGAAAUCAUCCAAGAAAUAAGAAAAAUUCUUACUGACCUUCUUUUGAAGGUAAGCAUUGGUUGAAACAUAAACCUCUGUCUUAUUUAACACCUUUUUUAUUUUGGUGGAAAAAAAGACGUUAAAUUAGAUGCAACACAACAAUUCAUGAUUAACAUCUGUAUACUGUCUGUAGCAGAAAAUGAUAUAUUACAGUUCUAAUUUUAUAGCCUCGUCCUUUAGUUACUGAUGAAUUGUUUGAUGAGAUUGUCACCAAAGUUCUUGGUGAAGACAAUUUGCCUGCUGAAGUGGGUCAUAAUGUUGCCACUUCAAACUAUAAUGCAUCAACCUCUCCACCCUCUGCUCCGGUUGCUAAGGCAACUGCUAAAGUUUUAGUUACAGUUAAAGCAAAGGAAAUAGAGAAUGAUGGUGCCAAUGAAAAAUCUAAUUCAAGCUCUCCUGGAGAUGUUUUAGGUCCUUGAAAUUAUGGUUCUGAUGCCGAUGAUGAAAUUGAGAGUUCCAUUGUGCCUGUUCUUGCAAAAGAUGCUGCAUAUAUGGUGAAUAAUAUAGUUAAAACCAACUCAUCGCUCUCCAGAAAUAGCAAUGGCGAUGCUAUUGAUCAAUUACAUGAUGCUAAGAUGACCGAAGAAUCUGAUCAUUCAGAUUCCAAGAUAGUUUAUAAAUAAUGCGCUUGAUGCAAUUGAAGACGCCACACAAGAUUUAGUGGUUACAGCUCGAAAGACAUGUCAGGGGUGCCAAGAUUUGACCUGCCUUGAAAGAAUGGUGUGGAAAAAGUAACAGAAGAUCAUCUAGGAAAGGAAUGCAGAAGAAAAUCAGAAAAAAGUGACCGACAUGUCAAGAGUUCUUCCGAGAAGGAUUUUAAAGAGGUAAAAAGUAGUCACAAGUCCAAGACAGAUGAAAAAAGUUACGAGAUCAAAAGAAGAAAGGAUGAAAGAUGUAACAUCCUAAAAUUUUAGUCAAUUAAAUUGAAUAAAUUUACUGAACUUUUUUUUUU